Molecule: ribosomal RNA, 252 nt
Filed under: uncultured bacterium
Lineage: Bacteria
Description: partial 16S ribosomal RNA
Rfam family: Bacterial small subunit ribosomal RNA
Source: RNAcentral
UACGUAGGUCCCGAGCGUUGUCCGGAUUUAUUGGGCGCAAAGCGAGCGCAGGUGGUUUAUUAAGUCUGGUGUAAAAGGCAGUGGCUCAACCAUUGUAUGCAUUGGAAACUGGUAGACUUGAGUGCAGGAGAGGAGAGUGGAGUUCCAUGUGUAGCGGUGAAAUGCGUAGAUAUAUGGAGGAACACCGGUGGCGAAAGCGGCUCUCUGGCCUGUAACUGACACUGAGGCUCGAAAGCGUGGGGAGCAAACAGG